GCUCGCUUUUCGUAAGAGAAAACUGUAACCUCGGCUCACACCGGCCGCCCCCCUGGUCCCGCAGUAACCUCCCCGGAGAAAGGAGCUUAAGGCAGAGACUGGGGGGUCUGAAUAAGAUGGAAUCGUCCCAGGUGACGUUCUUUAAGAUUCGAUGUGGAAUCUGUAUCCAGUAAGAAUUUUAGUGUCGAGUUGAAAUGAGAAUGGAGUGAUCACCAGGUUCCAAAUGGGGUCUGGGGGCCGCGGAGGACCGGGUCUCAGCCCCCCUCCCAGAUCCAGGGACGCCCCCGCCUACCCAGAGCAGCACCUGCCAGGAACAGCCUUAUGGUCUCAGGAGUUCCUCUUACAGCUACGCAACCGUCUCAGACUGCAGCCCGUCCUUUGUAGACAAGCGCCCUGCCUUCUUGCCAGCUCCAAUUAUAAUUCUUGAUAAAAACACACAUAUUCUAGAUGUGUUUAAACUGUCCAAAGGAACUCCAGAAGUCUACGGUUUUUCUUUUAAAAAGUUCCUCCCAACUUAGAGGUAUGGUUUCCUUCUGGGAUGAAAUUGUUGCAGCCUAAUUUGCAUUUAUUCUUAAAUUUUGGAUAUAGACCUGUAAUCGUUCAUAUAGAAACUGGGAAUCUUUCAAAAGGGGAUAGUGGUGAAGAAGAACAAAAGAGUGUACUUUCUCAGCUGCCUAAAUUCCAUCAGUUUCAAGCCCAAACCUUAAUUUGUAAGCAUUUCUUGUUGUAUCUACUUGUUUCUGAACUGAGGAAAAGGACUUGAUUUUUGCAUGGAUACAGUUUAUAGAGUACCUGCUCUGGGCCAGGCACCAGACAGGAUGCUAAAAAUAUAUCUUUUCACAAAAGGAUUAUAUCAAAAAAGAGGAAGGUUGUAAACCGUGUGGAACUCAAGAAAUGGUUCUGUUUCUGUUGAUUUGCUUUUUUACCCUGAUUUUCUUCUUGAAAUAUGCAGCUGUCAGUACUGCAAAGCUAAUCACGUUAAUGCUUUUACACCCAAAGUCUAAGAACAUCCUUGUGUGCCUCCCUGGAAGGAGUCACAGAACCUAAAUAGGUGUCUAGGUCUAGAAAGAGGAGUGGCUGGCAUGCAGGGAUCACUCCAGAAAGUUGGCAGCAACGUCAGUGCCCUGAGAAAGCCUUGCUCUUUGGAAUCUUAACUGUAAUGUGGGGAGGAAAAUUUUUCAGCAUCUGCCUCAAAACUUUUCUGCCUGGAUUCUUUCUGCAGAGAAUACUCUCAAAGUGUUCAGGCUUUCCUCUGCCAACAAAUCAGAGGAAGAGCCCUCGUCAUUCUCUUGAGACAUCAGAGAGACUCAAGCAGCACUUCCUAAAGGGAAGGGAUGGUGACAUCCGAUAUCCCGGAAGUGGAGAAUAAAAUGAACUGUCAUCAAGAUAGCUGCAUACUUCCUACACGAACACUGGAAACUGGGCGCAGGAUCGCACCUGAGGCAGGCUGGCCCUGAGCAUCUUCUCGGUCCUCUGGGCAGGAGCCUCGGCCCAGCAGAGUGAGGACACAUGGGAAAGGGGUGCUGGGGCCUUGGGCUUGGUUUUGUUUUCUUCCUGCUAUUUGAGCAGGGGGUAAAAUGAAAGGUUUCCUUCUGACCCCAACCACUCCCUCCUCUCCAAAACAGAUACAAAAUAGAGGCUGAAUUUCAGAUUAGGGUGGAUUGGAGCCUAGAGGGGAGGAGUUAUCUGAGUGUGUGAGAGCUGCACUGGGUCCUGAUCAGGACGGGGAGAGGGACACUCAGGGCCGGACACCCCCACAUAGUCACAGGGGCUCCCUGGGCCAGACGCCCCCACAUAGUCACAGGGGGGCUCCCUGGGGCCAGAUGCCCCCACAUAGUCACGGGGGCUCCCUGGGGCCAGAUACCCCCACAUAGUCACAGGGGGUUCCCUGGGGCCAGACGCCCCCACAUAGUCACGGGGGGCUCCCUGGGGCCAGACACCCCCACAUAGUCACGGGGGGCUCCCUGGGCCAGAUGCCCCCACAUAGUCACGGGGGUGGGGGAGACACCCCCCAACAUAGUCAAAGGGGGCUCCCUGGGCCAGAUGCCCCCACAUAGUCACAGGGGGCUCCCUGGGGCCAGACACCCCCACAUAGUCACAAGGGCUCCCUGGGCCAGAUGCCCCCACAUAGUCACAGGGGGUUCCCUGGGGCCGGACACCCCCACAUAGUCACAGGGGGUUCCCUGGGGCCGGACACCCCCACAUAGUCACAGGGGCUCCCUGGGCCAGAUGCCCCCACAUAGUCACAAGUGGGAGGUCCACGGGGCUGGAUACUUCUGCAUAGUCAUGGGGUGCUGAGGUGCUGGGAGGGGUGGGGGUGGACAGCAGAGCAGAGACAGAUGAUGGGCCAGCCCUGCUGAGCUCUGCACAAGGGGAAUGGCUGACACACCAUGCCCUCCAGUCUCCUUAGACUGGCCAAGCUUCAGAGACUUGCUGGGCACAAAGAGGGACCCCCAAGCUGACCAAGGCGGAACCGCUGUGGCACGUGGAGACGCACAGAUGGAAAAAUAAGGAAAUGAAGUGCUUGCCGUACCAGCGCUGCAGAAGAAUUCAUGUGGUCCAAGUCAGGGUAAUUGUUUACUAAUAAAACUGCUUUAAUUUGGAAAACGUUCAAGGAAAUAAGGAAACAGUUUGGUCAUUUGGCGAACAGUUCUCCACACUCCACGUAUCAGACAAGCGUACGCCAAAUCAGAGGAAACAGAAAUCAGGCACGUAUACAAAAGUACAAAGAGAAAUGAAAACCUCUCAUAUGCCUUUUGGAAAUUCACAAAUGAAAAGCCCUUUAAUAGUACAAAACUCAAACACUAGAAUGUUUUUUCAAGGCCAUGAAAAAAAAUGAAUUCCAUGUCUAUCUUGUAAACUUAGAAUAGUACAGCA
Molecule: long non-coding RNA, 2877 nt
Organism: Bubalus bubalis (water buffalo)
Lineage: Eukaryota; Metazoa; Chordata; Mammalia; Artiodactyla; Bovidae
Exons: 2
Source: RefSeq, a predicted model, not a curated record